CGCGAAAAUGGUUGAGCUAAGUAAAAAUUAAUUCUUAGAUUUUUUUAUGUGGCAUAAUAUAGUUAAAUAAUUACUUAGGGGUGAGAGGCCUAUCAAAUCUAUAGAUAUCUCGAUACUUUUGACACACAUAUAGUGUACUAACAAUUAGAUAGUGACAAGGCUAUCUAGUUUCAUGAAUUGAUUGUCCCAUUUGAAUUAUGGUUUAAUCGCCUAAUGCUUUAAUGUGUUAACAUGUGUUUAUUUUAUUUGUGUUUACUAAAAAGUACCAUUCAAAUAACCUCAAAUGCUUAUAAUGUAGUUAUUAGUAAUUUAAUAGUUACUUAACAUGAACUCGGCAACAUACCUUUCAACUGUUUAUCAAAAACAUAGUUAUGAGAACAUAUUCAUAAUAGUUUCUGCUCCAUGACGUAUUAAAUAGCCGCAGUACUCUGACUGUGCAAAGGUAGCGUAAUAAUUUGACUUAUAAUUGAAGUCUCGUAUGAAUGAAUAUAUGGGGGGUAUCUUUAUUUUCUGUACAAAAUGAAUUUAAUGAUUAAGUGCAAAUUCUUAUAUCCAAAGAUAGACGAGAAGACCCUAGAAAUUUUUAUUAUGUGGAAAAUUUGUUUUUGUUGGGGCAACAAAGUAACAAGUAACUUACUGUACUACACAAGAAUAUUAUAUAUGUUAGAUUAAAUUACUCUAGGGAUAACAGCGUAAUUUAAAAAAGUUUGCGACCUCGAUGUUGGACUAGGGAACAAAUGCUUAGAA
Molecule: ribosomal RNA, 747 nt
Filed under: Nanotrachia levis
Lineage: Eukaryota; Metazoa; Mollusca; Gastropoda; Stylommatophora; Camaenidae
Description: partial 16S ribosomal RNA
Source: RNAcentral